This 425-nucleotide ribosomal RNA is filed under the name uncultured Bacteroidota bacterium. Its description in RNAcentral is "bacterial SSU rRNA". It matches the Rfam family "Bacterial small subunit ribosomal RNA", at positions 355 to 776 of the family's 1533-position model. Lineage: Bacteria; Pseudomonadati; Bacteroidota. The record is from RNAcentral.
UAAGGAAUAUUGGUCAAUGGGCGGAAGCCUGAACCAGCCAUGCCGCGUGCGGGAAGAAGGCCCUCUGGGUUGUAAACCGCUUUUGUCAGGGAAGAAUGGAGAGGAUUCAUCCUCUUAGGGACGGUACCUGAAGAAUAAGCACCGGCUAACUCCGUGCCAGCAGCCGCGGUAAUACGGAGGGUGCAAGCGUUAUCCGGAAUCACUGGGUUUAAAGGGUACGUAGGCGGUUUUAUAAGUCAGGUGUGAAAUACCGCGGCCUAACUGCGGAACUGCACUUGAUACUGUAAAACUUGAGUAGGGUGGAGGUACACGGAAUGCAUCAUGUAGCGGUGAAAUGCUUAGAUAUGAUGUAGAACACCGAUAGCGAAGGCAGUGUGCCAUACCUUAACUGACGCUGAGGUACGAAAGCGUGGGGAGCAAACAGG